RNAcentral lists this ribosomal RNA (527 nucleotides) under uncultured bacterium. RNAcentral's name for it is "bacterial SSU rRNA". It matches the Rfam family "Bacterial small subunit ribosomal RNA", at positions 777 to 1301 of the family's 1533-position model. The record is from RNAcentral.
AAUAGAUACCCGGGUAGUCCACGCCGUAAACGAUGAGUGCUAAGUGUUAGAGGGUUUCCGCCCGUUUAGUGCUGCAGCAAACGCAUUAAGCACUCCGCCUGGGGAGUACGGUCGCAAGACUGAAACUCAAAGGAAUUGACGGGGGCCCGCACAAGCGGUGGAGCAUGUGGUUUAAUUCGAAGCAACGCGAAGAACCUUACCAGGUCUUGACAUCCUUAUGCCAUCUCUAGAGAUAGAGCUUUCCCUUCGGGGACAUAAGUGACAGGUGGUGCAUGGUUGUCGUCAGCUCGUGUCGUGAGAUGUUGGGUUAAGUCCCGCAACGAGCGCAACCCUUGAUCUUAGUUGCCAGCAUUCAGUUGGGCACUCUAAGGUGACUGCCGGUGACAAACCGGAGGAAGGUGGGGAUGACGUCAAAUCAUCAUGCCCCUUAUGACCUGGGCUACACACGUGCUACAAUGGAUGGUACAAAGGGCAGCGAAACCGCGAGGUUAAGCCAAUCCCAUAAAACCAUUCUCAGUUCGGAUUGC